Epinephelus fuscoguttatus (brown-marbled grouper) is the source of this 5294-nucleotide long non-coding RNA. RefSeq lists it as uncharacterized. Lineage: Eukaryota; Metazoa; Chordata; Actinopteri; Perciformes; Serranidae. The record is from RefSeq and is a predicted model, not a curated record. The transcript is spliced from 3 exons.
AGUUUAUUCAGCAAACAUGUUUGUUAAUACUUAACAUACAGUAUGUUCAGUGUAUGAGGUUUCUGAUCAGACACAUAAUUAAUGGAUCACACACAUUGUGAUGUCGUCAGCAUCCAGCUCACCACAGCCGAUGGCACCACUUGAAUGUUCACCAAUACAUUAAAGAUUUUCUUUACAGUAUCUUAUCAAAGCAUGUUGCAGUGUCUUGGGGGGGAAAAAGACAACAAAAAGAUAAUCAAUCUUAUUUGUGUUCUCUAGCCGGGAAAUGCUAGAUCAGCAUCUCGCAGUCAGUUGGGGAUGUACCAGGACAGUACCAGUAAAGCAAAAGGGUCAAGAGCUUUAAUCUCACUUUACUUUUGUGGAGCACAUGUACUGGGAACUGCUUGAGUCACAUUACAGUAUUUACCAGCAGCAGGUGCAUGUUCUCACUGGGCACAAAUGCUUGUUUUUAUUUACUAAUAUCAAAUAACAAUUGACAACCAACUAUUACUCAUUAGAUAUUUAUUAACAAAAUUACUAAAGAAUCCAUUUUAAAUGUUUAAAAUUACAUCAAAGCACCAAUAAUGCAGCCAUUUAAAUGGGAAAUAAUGUAAGAUAAUGCAAGAUAAUGUGAUGUGUCACACACUUAUAAUUCCCUUGCAUGAAUGGUGACAAGUAGGUUAGCUGUGAGGGUUUUUUUUUUAAUUAAAUUAAAUUACAUGUUUAGGAAGAUUUUGCCUCUUCAUAAAGAAAUGCGUGUGUACAACAUACUGAUACAGUCAAUUAAAAAUUCAUUCUUAAGUUUUUGUAUAGGCCCACUUGCAUAUUGCAAUUAUAAUCUGUGGUUAUCAGAAAAUCCCACGGCACACCAUUUGAGAACCAGUGACCUACACUAUAAAUCCAAAAACAGUGAGUGAAGAAGUAUCUAGAUCUUUUACCUUUAUCAUAGUGCAAAAGCUUGGUAGCCUCACUUAUAAUAACACUUCAUCAUUUAUUAGUUGAUUUAACCUAUAUUUUGUAUUCAUCCAAAUCUGCAAAAUUACUAGUGACUAAAGUUAUGAAAUAAAUGCAGCUGAUAAAAGUGAGAUGUAGUGGAGUGGAAGGAGCAUAAAAUCUUACUGCAGUAGUCUACUUGAAUGAUUUUAGAAACCUGGAUGCAGUGAUUUGCAUUCGGCAUGUGUUGGAUGGGGCUGAGCUCUGGGACCUGUGCAUGCCAGUCGUGUUUUUGCACACCAUGCUCUGAAAACAAUUUAUUUAUGAGCAUUUGCUUUGUGCUCCAGGACAUUGUCAUAUUGAAACAGAAAAAGCCUUCCCUAAUCUGUUGCCGCAAAGUUGGAAGCAUACUGUGGACACACUGUGUUACCAAGAAGGAAGUGGGUAUACUCAGUAGUGAAGUGGUAGUUGAUGAGGUUGAUGUACUAUUGGGUAGAUGUGUAGGUUACAGACAGGGGCGGACUGGCCAUCUGGAGGUUCUGGAGAAUCACAGAAUGGCACUCCAGGACGGCCGGCGGCCACCAUGCAGUCAUCACUGUUUUUUUUUUUUGUUUUGUUUUUUUCUUUUUCUCCCUGAUAAUCUACUGUUCCACGUCCAGUCCGCUAGGUGGCAGCCUUUAAAUUGGAUGCCGGCCGGCCCAUAGAUAUCUAUGAGCCGGUCGGCCGCCAAUCAAAUUGAAGAAGAAGGAAGCGCAUACGUCACGCAAAUCGAGCAGCCGUGUGCAGCAGGCAGUCACCUGCAUUGUAUUGUUCAGCAGAGAGACAUCUGGACUGUGUUGUUUAUUUCUCAGUGAGUAUUCUACACUAUGCUCUUAACACAACAUCUAGUCAACAUCGGUGCUAUUGCUAUAAUUUGGUCCCAGUCCCCCAGGUUUUUAGUCCCAGUCUCCCCUGGUUACAGAGGAGGAAGUGGUAUCCUGCCGUAUAUGUAAAUUCCAGUGGCCAUUUGAUCAAUAGGUGGGCAUUCUGGAAAUGGCCAGAAGAAGACGCGGGUAUACAAUAUAUAUAUGUGUACACUCUCCACGACACCACUGGGUGUACUCUCUUAACGAUCCCCAUGGCUUUUUGACUUACAGGUGGAUAUAUGGUCAACGGCCAGAGCAGAGGGGGGGCUGGUGCCUUACCCAGCUGACAUUGGGCGAGAUGCGGGGUACGCUCUGGACAGGUUGCCAGACUAUCACAGGGCUGUCACAUAGUAAUAGACAACCAUUCACACUCACAUUCAAUUCUACAGCCAAAUUAGAGUCACCAAUUAACAUGCAAACUCUACACAGAAGGGCUCCUCCAUGCCGUGGAUUGAACCCCCAACCCCAGGUUCGAACCAGGAACCUGGGGUAUAUUUAUAAUAGGGAAACAUGGUUAGCCAAGAACAGUUCUUGCCACUUUCUAAGGCUGUUUGGUGAAUGUUGAAACCAAAUGGAAAAUAUUGUUUUGCAUUUUGUGCUUAUGGUACAUUUCUGUGUGCUCACCUCUCUCAGGCUAACCUCUUCUCGCCUCUACACAUUUUCACUUCACAAUCAAAACACUUACAGCUGACUGGAGCUGGUGCAGCAGGGCAAAAAUUUGGCAAACAUUUCCAACACCAUGUUGAAAGUCACCGAGAUCUCAUGUUUCUGCAAAUGUCUGUCAGAGGAGUACUGUAUGCCUGGCUUUAUGCUUGAUUUAAUGCAUGGUUAGCAAUAAGCGUGGCCUAUACACUCAAGCCCACUAAUUAACAGAGGUAUCCACAUAUUCAUGGAAAUAUACUUAACCACAUUCUGUCUCUUUCUUUCUCAUAUUUCUGGGAGAAAAAGGGAACUUGAUAGUUAAUUGAGUCAGCAGUCUCAUUAAUUAAAAAUUGCUUUUUUCUUCUUGAGAUCAGUGAGCAUAAGCAUUAACAGAAAUUAAAGGUCACAUUUGUCACUCAACGAGACUGGAGGUGGUAUUAUCUUAGUAGCUCUUUCAUAUUUGUUUUGGUGGCACAGCAGAGGAAGGAACACUCUGACAACCCGUGAAAGUGCACUGAUAGUUGAAAUUACAGUCAGCAUGAGGCUGUCAUCAUACUCCCCUCAACCCCCCUCCUCCAAUGCAAUGAGCAGAGAAAACAUGAUGGCAUGACUCUUCUUGUUCUAAGGAAAACCCCCAAGUGAAUAUGCCAGACUGUUGAACAAGUACUAGUUUUGAUGUUCUCUGUGUGGCUGUGUAGACAAUACUUUUUAUAUACAAUAAAUUUGCUUUUGCUGCCUGGAUUAUGUUCACUGGCAGGAAUCUUUUUUCUAAUCCAAGAGUGUGUGACAGUUUGUGCAGAAGUCAUAGGGAGAAUGAAGCAGAUGGUUGAGUGAAAACAGCUAGGUCAUAAUUAUAAUAUAUGUUGGGGGUGACGCACAUCCACAAUAUUAAACGUAUGCUUAAAAGGCAACAUAUUUAUUAAAAAUACAAAUAUUUUAAUGCCAGUGCGCCAACAGGCAACCAUUGGCUACGGUUACAUGAUAGCUUCUCAUUCGGAAUGAAAUAAAUCUGAAUGAAAUCAUUUGGAAUUAAAGUCUUUCCAGGUAGUUUACAUGGGAAAUAUUCAUUCCGAAUGAGGGUUUACAUGGGAGAUCAGUUCAAUCGCCUUUAUUCAGGUCUGCGCAAGGUUUGGGGCAGGGAAGGUUUCUGAUUGGACAGGGGGUGGGGCGGAUGUUACGUGUUUACGUUUACCGGAAGAAAACACUGUAGUCCUCGCUCCGGAUAACAAGAUGCUUGACGACGCCGACGCCUUUUUCAGGCGUGUUUUGCUUAUAUUCUUAAAGCAGCAAUACGACAACAACCUUGUUCUGCUAAUGCUUCAUCUGUUGAGGAGGAGAAGGGAGGUAGAAGGUCGAAGAAGGGAGAUAGAAGACCGUACUGUGGCGAAUGGAAACCGGUGAGCGCACCAAGUCCGACUGCUCUAUCUCAGCCUGUUGCUAUGCAGCCCAUUGCUAUGCGCACUACAUACGUUAUCGCGCUGGAAGGGCAAGGAAACGAGCAUGCGCAGAAAGACUGGAAUGAACUUAAAGAGGAAUGAGUGUAUACAUGCAUACAAAAGUCUUUCAUUCGGAAUGACAAACGGAAUAAACCACCUCCUUUAAUCGGAUUUAAUUUUCAAUCGGAAUGACUGUUUACAUGACCACUUUUAAUCGGAAUGGCCUUUCAUUCCGAUUAAAAGUGGAAUUAAACUGUGCAUGUAAACGUACUGAGUGUCAGGAUCCUAGUGUGUUUCCAUUGUUUUCCCUCCCCUUUUGUUUUUGUCUCGCCUUCCUGUCUUGUGUGUGUGUGUCUGUCUGGAGCUGGGUGGAGUUGGAGUCACCACUCACCUGCACACCUGCCAGCCAUCAGCAAUCAAGCCAUCUCCACCCCACUCUGUAUGAAAGCCUGGCCCAGUUCACAUCUCUUCAGCAGAUUGUCUGCUUACCUGUGUGAUCGUUCCUGUCUUGCUGCACUCAGCCUCACCCAGCCUCAUACCACCACAGCCAUACCCACCUGGAGCCUUCUGGACAUUCUCUGGACCCCUCAGACUCUGCAACCCCCACCCAGCUCCAGCUCCGCUCUUCUGUAAUUACAAUAAAAGACUUUCUUCAUCUACCAGCAGCUUUUCAGAGUCUUAUGUCUGCACUGUGGGUCCACAUUUGACACUUCCGUUAUGACAACCAUACCAAAAUAAUCAUUAGCAUACGUAACUGACAUAAAUAAACGUAACAACUUACCAUUAUUACUACUGUUUCUAGUAUUAUGGCAUAGGCUACUGCAGCUCUGCAAGUGGUUUGUCCAGGUGGUGUUGCCAUACCCGAGCAAAAGCCAUUGUUUGACUGGCCACUGGUACAACAAUAUAUUGUCUCUCAAUUUCAUUACUUUAAAAUGUUUUUUAAAGGGGAAAACUAGAAUGUGUAACAUGAGUGUUACGACCUAGGCUGAGCUGUAAUUGUGACAGCAGUGAACUGAAGAUCCAUGCAGAGCUUCCACAGCUGCUGUUCUCCUGGUAGAACAGUCUUUUUGCAGUGUUGAGUAAGGCAGAGAGACCACAGAGCAAUGCUCAGUUUAGUCCAGCCAUCUAUUCAUAGACAGAAAUACUCUCUUCAAUAGCCUGUUGAUGACACUAAGGCUUUCACGUGUGUAUCUCAGACAGAGUGAGAAUGCCAAGAGGCAGAUGAAGACGAAGGUGCAAGGGGGAAGGGAGGACCCUGGACCUUGCCAAAACAGCCAACUCUAAAUCUCAUACCUAGUCAAAUAGGACACUAUUUAGGGGUCGGUAACCUAAAGCGGGGUGCACACAUAAGGAUUUUAUAAAUCUUAAGAGAUUUUUUUUAUCUGUGAGAGACCCCACA